CAUCUAUAGCAACCCUAGCUUUCUCACUCCAUAUGGUAGAAAAGAGGUAAAAGAAAAUCCCUCCCAAAUCCAAUCGACGACUACAACACCGUUUCUUCUCUGAAGGUAAGUAUAAUUAUCAUGCCUUCAAUUUCUUCCUUUAGUAUAGAUUUCCCGAUUUUUUUUUCGUUUCUCUUCUUCUAUAGUGCAGCUAGCGAGUUUCCCCAUUUUUUUUAUUUAUCACAAGUUUGUUGGAAAAGUUCAUGUAAUAGAAAUGAAAUUUAAAUCUACACCCUGAUUUUUUGGUGUUUAUAUAUUCUUGUUUAAUUUUCUAGAUAUUAGAAAAGAUUUGUAUUCGAAAUAAUACAUGUGAAAAAAUCAAAAAUCCAAAAAUAUUGUAGUUUUUCUUCUUCUGAUUCAACAGCCUGUCCAAAGCAACUGUUUUCAAUUUUUGAACUAAAUAAUUUAAAAUUGGUCCAAUUAACUGAAGUAAAAGGUACUUUGAAACACAAGGCUGAGCAUAGAAGUAUUUACCUCAAAUCCAGCUGUGUCAUAUUGAAGCCUUUUAUCUGGAUUAGACAAAUAUUAUAAGAGAAUGUGACCUCCUUGAAUAUAUCUGCACCUUUAGGAUCAUUUGCAUUCUUGUCCGGAUGGUACCUACACAUUGUAAAAUAAGCAUAAAUAACAACCAACAAUUUUGUAAGCCUCAUAAAAUAGAGCUGUUGAUACAUAAGGGCAUAAACACACACGCGCGCACAGAGAGAGAGAGAGAGAGAGAGAGAGAGAGAGAGAGAGAGAUAGUAACCAUUCACAAAAUGCCAUCCAAAAGCAUCUACUAAUAGGGUUCAUGCUAUAGAUUUUUUUUCUGUUAUUGGCAAUAUAUCUCUUGCAAUAUACUGUAGAGUCUUAUAAAAUAGGAUAUAAAGGUAAAACUGAGAGCUUUAACAAUGAAACGGACCAAUAGAAGACAAAGGACAAAUUAAAGAGAACAAAAGCAAGGCGAACAAAUAGACCACCAACUUGGCAACUUCUGGAAUGAGAUUCUUCCUAUCAUGCAUUUUUUUCUUUUUUUUUUCCUACUGACAUUAUUCACUGUAUAUUUUUGGUGCAAAUAUUUGUAUAAUUUUGUUAUUUAUCUGUUUAUUGGGUUGAUGAGUAAAAUUUAUAUUAGGAGCAUGUUUGCUAAUUCGCUAAGCUUAGGAAAAAUAAUAAAAAUACUUUUAUUCUAUAGUGUUAGGAUCUUCCUCUAGCUGCUCAAGAUGAUUUUCGGGCUCAGUUAACCUUUAAAACACCGAAUCAACACCAAAACCGAAGGUACCCGCCGCCGCCGCCGAGUUCUACCUAUGGUUGCUUUUCUUCCUUUUGCUUGUUGUUUGCUCACUCACAAAGGAUGAACACCACACAGGUAAGGGCCACAAAGACACAAGCAAGAGGUAGAGAAGAUCAAUCAGUAGGAUGCACGAAGAAGAAGAAGAAGACUGCCUCUCUCUCUCUCGGGUUUUUCACACACAAAACGGGACAUGAGAAUUACCAAUAUAUAUAGUAAACCAAUGACAAACUAAGAUAAGUUAUACAUAUGGUAAGGCUCGACUAGGGUUAUGGCCUAAUAGCACACCAACAAGCCACAAAGGUUUAUUAGCCAUCCAAUAGGUAAAACAACGUUAAAUCGGGUCAUCCCAUUAUUCGGUGUUGAUUUAUCAUUCAAUCAUUCAUGUCGACUGAUAAAACUGGUUUACAUCAUCGCCCGGGAGGUCGUUUGACAACAUGAUGUCUAACAACCUCCACCUUGAUGUCAAAGGACCUGCAAAGAAAAAACGUUUCCAUUAGUGACACCUCUAACAGAAAAUCGAUUAAAUUGGAAAUCAUUUGCCUGUACUGAUGUUUAGAAGCUCCUUGCAACUUCUAAACUUUACCAGUGGUAGCACUUUCGUGCCCAUAUCCGAAGGAUUAUAUUGUGUGUGAAUUUUUUUCAAGUCUUACUACUUCUUGUGAUAUUAUAUCCCUAAUGAAGUGUAGCCUAACAUCGAUAUGUUUAAUGCGUUCGUGAAAAACAGGAUUCUUACACAGAUGUAUAGAUGACUGACUAUCAGAAUACACAACCACAUACUCAUUCAAGACACUUAAUUCAUGAAGUAGACCUCUAAGCCAUAGAGCCUCUUUAAUUGCUUCAGUGGUGGUAAUAUAUUCUGACUCUAUAGUGGAUAGUGCAACUAUGUGUUGUAGCUGUGAUUUUCGACUAACACACGAAUUCGAUAAGGUGAAUACGUAAGAGGAAGUUGAUUUCCUACCAUCCUUAUCUCCUGCAUAGUCAGCAUCUACAAAACCCUUUAAUUUCACGCCUUCCUUAUUAGCACUAAAUUUUAGACCUACAUCACUUGUACCCUUCAAAUAUCUUAAAAGCCACUUUAAUGCUUCCCAAUGUUCAGGACCUGGAUUAGACAUGUACCUACUGAGAGUACUAACAGCGAAUCCUAAGUUCGGUCUAGUGCAAAUCAUCAAAUACAUUAUGGAAUCAAUCACAUAUGAGUAUGGAAUUUUACUCAUGUAUUCCACUUCACGUUCAUUGCAGGGAGCUUGUUCUUUAGAUAGAACAAAAUGGUUUGUAAGAGGCAACGUGACAGGUUUGCAGUCACUCAUAUUAAACCUUUUCAACACCUUUGAUAUGUAUGGAGACUGAUGCAAAAAUACGAUGGAAUUUGACCUAUUUCGUUCUAUUUCCAUGCCUAAAAUCCUUUUAGCGUUUCCUAGGUCUUUCAUGUCAAAUUCUCCACUAAGAUCUGCUUUUAUAUUGUUUAUCCACUUAGGAGAUGAUCCAACUAAAAGCAUAUAGUCCACAUAGAGCAACAAGAACAAAUAAUUGUUAUCAGUCUCGUUGUGUUGAAAAUAUAGGCAGUGAUCGAAUUUACUUCUUUGAAAUCCUAUAGUGAGUACAAAGGAAUCAAACCUCUUGUACCACUGUCUAGGUGAUUGCUUUAGACCGUCUAGGGAUCUCUUCAGAAAACACACAUAAUUAGGUUUUAACUUGUCUUUAAAACCUUUUGGUUGAUUCAUAAAGAUUUGUUCAUCAAACUCUCCAUGUAAAAAAACGGUUUUUACAUCGAGUUGUUCAAGUUCCCAGUCAAAGAGCGCAACCAAUGCGAGCAUAACCCUAAUAGUAGUGUACUUCACAACUGGUGAGAAAAUCUCGUUAUAAUCAAUACCUUCUUUCUGUGUGUAACCCUUCGCUACUAACCUAGCCUUAAAUCUUAAGGGUUCUAUACUACUAAUACCUUCCUUAACCUUAAAGACCCACUUGCAAUCAACGAUUGAUUUAUUCUUAGGUCUCGGUACUAACUCCCAAGUUUGAUUCUUUUCUAAAAAACUCAUCUCUUCUUUCAUAGCCUUAAGCCACUCCUUAGAUUGACCACUAUUCAUAGCCCCUUCAAAAGUUUCCGACUCCCUAUCAAUUAGUUCUUCGUAACUAGCAUAUGCAAAAUCCAAUUCAGAUUCAAACCCGAACCUCCUAGGUUCUCUCGUUUGUCUUCUCUCUCUAUCCCUAACUAAAUUAUAGUUAGCUAAUGGAUUUUCUUCCUCAGGAUGCUCUUCUAUCACUACUUCAUUUUCCUCUUCAGGUUCUUGGACCUGAAUCUCCACCUCACUCGAAGUACUAGGUACUGAUGUGUUAAAUUUUCCUAACUCCACCUUAAAUCGAUUUCUUUCUUCACCUGAUUCAGUUUCACUUACAGGUUCGGUUUCGUUUCUUAGUCAAGGCAUCUCACUCUCAUUAAAUGUGACAUCCCUACCCACGAUGAUCUUAACUCCUUUCUGGCUUCUAUCCCAUAACCUAUAGCCCUUAACCCCUUAGGGAUAUCCUAGAAAGACACACUUCCUGGCUCUAGGUUCUAAUUUUCCCUCACUUUGAUGAGAGAAGGCAGCACGGCCAAACACUUUAAGCAUUGAGUAGUCACCCAAUUUUCCAGACCAUUUCUCAUGUGGAGUAUCACCAUUUAAUGCAGCCAAUGGAGUCAAAUUUAUCAGAUAACAGGCAGUUACAACGGCUUCACCCCAAAAUGACUUAGGAACCCCAGAACUUAACAUCAUGCAGCGCACUUUAUCUAGUACGGUCCUAUUCAUUCUUUCUGCUACCCCAUUUUGCUGGGGAGUAUAGGGAAUCGUUUUGUGCCUUGUUAUUCCACUUUCUUUACACAUCCUAUCGAAUUUAGCAUUACAGAAUUCUAGGCCGUUAUCUGUCCUUAAAAAUUUGAUUCUCUUGCUAGUUUGGUUUUCCAUUUGUUUCUUCCAGUUGUUAAAGUUAUGGAAGGUUUCAAUUUUGUCUUUCAAUAGAUAGACCCACGCUUUCCUGGUGUAGUCAUCUAUGAUAGAUAGGGAAUACCUAUUCCCACCUGAUGUGGGAUUACUAGCAGGACCCCACAGAUCAGAAUGCACAUAUUCAAGCAUGCUUUUAGCCUUAUGCGUACUAGUGGAGAACGACACUCUAUGGUGCAUUCCGAGCACACAGUGAUCACAGAACGAUAGGUCAGACACACAGUCAUUAUCAAAUGCACAUUUUUCAUUAAGUAGCUUAAAUCCCUUAAUGCCUACAUGUGCAAGCUAUGCCACGCAUGUGUGCGAUCGAUUUUGGCGGAAGAAAUAGAGGAGUUUAAUCCUCUAAUUACUUCCCCAGUAGUGAUGUAAAUAUCGUUUUUCUUAAUUCUCUUAAUAGAGAUUAACGCACCCUUCAUCAUUUUAAACAUACUGUUUCCAAUUUUACCGAUGAAGUUGUCUUUCUCAAGUCUUCCUACUGAAAUCAAAUUCCUAGAUAAUUCAGGAAUGUAUCUAACUUCCUUUAACAUGUACACAAAGCCCGUGUUAAAUUUUAUCUUUAUAUCUCCAAUUCCAGAAAUUGUAUAGGCAAAGUUAUCACACAGAACUACUUGCCCAUCAUUAGAUUCUUGCAAGUUUUCAAACUAGUUCUUUUCAGAAUCUAAUAUCCAUUCAUGCAUGUGAGAAUUAGUAGUUAGAUUCAAUUCAGUAGUGUAUGCGAUUGGACUAGUGAUCACAUAGACUUCACCGUUUUCGGUAUCGGAGGUAGAGGACAACACAUUUACCUCAUCUCUUUCCUUAACAUUUUGUUUUCCCCUUUCUUUAUGGCAGUCUUUUAUAAAAUGCCCUGUGCCUCCACGGCCAUAGUAUUUUCUAGCCUUAGUUCUAGACUUUGACCUAGGUCUACCAUUGCCCUUCUUUUUCCAACAAUUACUACUUGAUUUGCCACUACUUUGGUAUCCAUCAUGACUGGCUCGCCUAAAUUGAGUUCUACCCUACAUCAUAUGCAACUCUCCACUCCUCCUAUCCUGUUUUUCAGCCCUCAUUUCCAUCUCUUUACUCCUAAGAGAAUCUACGACAAUUUCAGGUGUUAACGUGUCCCUACCAUACUUAAUGGCAUUCUUAACUUCUUUAUAAGAGUCCGGGAUUGAAUUGAGCAAGAUAAUAGCCUUAUAGGUCUCAGACACGGCUUCGUCACAAUUGACAAUAUCUUGUACCAAUUUGUUAAAUACAUCUAAAUUAUCGUUGAGAUCCUUUGAAGGAUCUAUCUUAAAGCUGAAGAAUCGUUCGAGUAGGUAGAGUUUAUUCGGUGUAGAUUUAAGCAAGUAUAAGUCUUCUAGUCUUUUCCAAAGUUCUUUGGUGGUUUUUAGUUUUCCCACUUUUCUUAAGACAGCGUCAGACAAGUGUAAUAUUAUUGAGGUAUAGGCAAGCUCAUCGACUUCCUCUUUUUGUUCUUUUGAGAUGUCAGGUGCAAAAUUGCCUUCGAUGGCUUUUGAUACCUUUUGUUGGACUAAUAUGCCUCUCAUCUUUUAUUGCCAGAUAGAGAAGUCCCCUUUACCAUUAACUAUUCCCAAAUCAAAAUUAUGUGUUGUCAUUGGUUAACACACUAAUUAGACCACACGAAGUAGUAUUGGGAAGUGUGAUAAGGUAAUAUCUUGUUAAUUCUUAGCAAAAGUAACAAUGAACCUAAACGCUACGUCCACCAAGAAAUACCAAGCACUUAAAUCAAAAGAAUAAGCACUCAAUUAACGUAAGUAAUCCUAGUUCUAGCACAAGCAAUGGUUACCCCUUCACGGUAACCCCAAAACCUAACGAUCACCCCAUACGAUGAUCUUGCUAUUGCUGAAUUUAAAUGGAUUAAGCCAAUUUACCAGAGCGGACCUAUCUGAGUCCGUAGAGUGAAGAUAAACGAGCUUGCUAUUCUAUUGCAGUCGGCGUCGCACCAGGGGCAAAAUCGUCCAACUUUUUCUGUGUAACCUGAAACACAAAACAAAGUAUAUCAGCGCAUUCAGGAGAUCGAAACAAGCAAGUUACUUGAAGAAAGCUUCGUCGAAAUGCCACCCACGCGCCACCUCACCAGGGGUACCUCGACCUGCUGGUAAUGGGUAUGGCCUCCGUUUGUCCAACCGAGUUUCGGUUUGUGAGUAAUUGAAGAAUUUCAGAUUCGGGUAGAGGGGUGAAAUCGUGAAAAUAAACCAAUUUUGAGCCGAUUUUUGCCAACCAAGCUUUGAUACCAGAUGUUAGGAUCUUCCUCUAGCUGCUCAAGAUGAUUUUCGGGCUUAGUUAACCUUUAAAACACCGAAUCAACACCAAAACCGAAGGUACCCGCUGCCGCCGCCGAGUUCUACCUAUGGUUGCUUUUAUUCCUUUUGCUUGUUGUUUGCUCACUCACAAAGGAUGAAUACUACACAGGUAAGGGUCACAAAGACACAAGCAAGAGGUAGAGAAGAUCAAUCAGUAGGAUGCACGAAGAAGAAGAAGAAGACUGCCUCUCUCUCUCUCGGGUUUUUCACACACAAAACGGGACAUGAGAAUUACCAAUAUAUAUAGUAAACCAAUGACAAACUAAGGUAAGUUAUACAUAUGGUAAGUAAGCUCGACUAGGGUUAUGGCCCAAUAGCACACCAACAAGCCACAAAGGUUUAUUAGCCAUCUAAUAGGUAAAACAACGUUAAGUCGGGUCAUCCCAUUAUUCGGUGUUGAUUUAUCAUUCAGUCAUUCAUGUCGACUGAUAAAACUGGUUUACUCCAUCACCCGGGAAGUCGUUUGACAACAUGAUGUCUAACAUAUAGGCUUACAAAGAAGUUCCUAUACGCCCGACCAUAUCUUUCGUGAAUGCAAACAAAUUCUUUACAUGCAAAUCUUUACAAGACUAAAACAUUAUGCUUUUCACUUUUCGAUUUCUCAAACCUGAUUUCAUAUUGUUGUUAAAAAACAGUGAGGCGGAUUUUACUAUUCUCAUUAGUAAAAGAAAAAUUGUCUCCAAUUCUUUGUACAUAUUUUUACUUCAAUUUGAUGUUCUUUCGUUAACAAUGUGCAAGGUCUGACUGCUAUCCAUAUUUAGAAUUUUCUCCACUUUGUUUCGCUUUCGUCAAAAGGUAAGAAUUUUCUUUUCCUUCUAUAAGUUUAGCUUCCUCUGAUAAUGUUUAAUUAGAUUAUACAUAGAAAUUACUCGUUUAGUACUCUUACCUCAUGUUUUGCAGUAUUUUGAAGUUCCAUUUUCUUUAUUUGUGGCUGAGAACAAUGUCAAAUUUAGAUUUCUUAUUCUUUUAUGUUCUUUUGUUGACAUUUGUUACAAAUCCAUAAAUAAUGUUAAAUGGAUUUAUGCUUUGGUGAACCAUAGAAUUGACUUAUGGAACCAAUGCCAGCUCUUUACCACCAUUACAAUCGACAAAUCUGCUCCUGGAAUAAAGGCCAUAUUGAACUUCAAAGUUCCUUUCCAAAGGUUUGGAAAUGUGAGAGGUUUUGUGUUUAAUGUUUAUAGCAUCAUAAAUCUUAGUGCUUUCUAUGUGUAGUGUACCUCUAAUUAUUUUCCCAUAAUGACCACGGUUGUUCGAAGUGCAAUACUUGCAUGAGUAUGUAGGGAUAAGCUCAACCAUUGGGUUGAAAACUAACCCAUUGUCAAUAAAAUUCAUCAUUAAAUACUAGAAAGAGCAAAUAACAUAGUGACAACCUUCAAAUUCCUUAUUGCUUUAGUUUGGAUGUUUAUAGUUUGUAUGUUUUAGAAAGUGCAAUUUAUGUUAUGUUAGUUAUCAUGUUUUUACAUAUUGUGAAUAGGUUAAAGUUUUAAAUAAUUCUAUGUAGGCAGAUUUAUUUUACUUGAAAGUUUAGUUUCCACAUAUAGCUUUUUUCAAUUCUUUUAGUUCAUGUUGUUUACCUUGGGCUCCAACUAUUCGAUAAGUUAUCUAAUUGUUCUCAUGGAUGUUUCAGAAACAUGGUCUAAUGGAGUGACUGGUUCUCUGAAUUUCGAAACAAUGUCCCAGAACCAACAACAGAACCAAAGGCAAAGGGAUAGGUGAAGUCAACUUAGAAUCGGGUGCAAUGAUUGUCACAAGAGGAUAAAUGAUCCCAUGUCGUCUGAAAUUAAUAAUUCCAACAUUGAAAGAAUAUAGCAAUCUAUAAUGCAUCAUGAUUUUGAGGCUUCUACCUCAAACCAAGAGACACAUGAUAUUUCCAAUUCUGCAUUACGAUGUAGUUUUAAUGUACUGAACAUACUAACGACUUCAUAUGUAUUACUAACAUGCAAUAGCUGUAAAUAUUGUGGUGCUAGAAAAUUUUAUAGAGUAAGUAAAGGCUUCUGUUGCUCUUAUCAAAAAGUUCAUCUCUGUAUUCCUGAUUCACCAACUGAACUGUACAACUUGUUUACUUCCAAAGAACCUAAAUGUAUGAAAUUUAAAAAGAUUGCAAGG
RNAcentral lists this long non-coding RNA (8690 nucleotides) under Olea europaea subsp. europaea. Lineage: Eukaryota; Viridiplantae; Streptophyta; Magnoliopsida; Lamiales; Oleaceae. The record is from RNAcentral.